Molecule: ribosomal RNA, 253 nt
Filed under: uncultured bacterium
Lineage: Bacteria
Description: partial 16S ribosomal RNA
Rfam family: Bacterial small subunit ribosomal RNA
Source: RNAcentral
UACGUAUGGUGCAAGCGUUAUCCGGAUUUACUGGGUGUAAAGGGAGCGUAGACGGAAAAGCAAGUCUGGAGUGAAAGCCCGGGGCUCAACCCCGGGACUGCUUUGGAAACUGUUAUUCUUGAGUGCCGGAGAGGUAAGCGGAAUUCCUAGUGUAGCGGUGAAAUGCGUAGAUAUUAGGAGGAACACCAGUGGCGAAGGCGGCUUACUGGACGGUAACUGACGUUGAGGCUCGAAAGCGUGGGGAGCAAACAGG